AAGUCGUAACAAGGUUUCCGUAGGUGAACCUGCGGAAGGAUCAUUAACACGUAUCCAACGUUAAACCCCCCGUGAACUUUUAUUGCGAACCACGCCUUUGUUAGAAAGUAGCAAUCAGGGAUCUCUGCGAAGAGAGCGGUUGUAGCGCGAGGUAAGUGGCCUGGCAUUCCUCUGCUUGUUAGUGUCUGACAGUGUCACUAGCUCUGUACGAAUGGCGCAGUCACGAUCGCUAGAGGCCGACACGGCCGGCGACCGGGUCACCGGGCAUAGACCCCCCUAUCACCUUUGCAUGAAAACGGGCCUGCGCUUAAUUGUGCGGCCACCAAACUCGAACAACUGUUAACAAUGGAUAUCUUGGUUCUC
Molecule: unclassified non-coding RNA, 363 nt
Filed under: fungal sp.
Lineage: Eukaryota; Fungi
Description: partial internal transcribed spacer region
Rfam family: Eukaryotic small subunit ribosomal RNA (bases 1-46)
Source: RNAcentral